UACGGGGGGAGCAAGCGUUGUUCGGAUUUACUGGGCGUAAAGGGCGCGUAGGCGGCCACCGCAAGUCGACUGUGAAAUCUCCGGGCUUAACCCGGAAAGGUCAGCCGAUACUGCGGGGCUAGAGUGCAGAAGGGGCAACUGGAAUUCUCGGUGUAGCGGUGAAGUGCGUAGAUAUCGAGAGGAACACCUGCGGCGAAGGCGGGUUGCUGGGCUGACACUGACGCUGAUGCGCGAAAGCUAGGGGAGCGAACGGG
Molecule: ribosomal RNA, 254 nt
Filed under: uncultured bacterium
Lineage: Bacteria
Description: partial 16S ribosomal RNA
Rfam family: Bacterial small subunit ribosomal RNA
Source: RNAcentral